AUUAGUUAAUAUUCUAAUUAAUUAACACGAAAGAGAUUCAAAGGGUCUUUCAUGCUAAUUCACGCUGAAGAACAAGUAAUUAAAGGUCCAAGUCUCUUUCAAACCUGGGCCUAAUGGGGAGCCUCAUUACUUAUUGUGUAGACUACUGAAUCAAAGAUUUUAUGUGACUUGGAUUGUAUAACACAUGAGGCCCGACAUUAAAAUGAAGCCAGCCGCAGUGUUGAGACCCAAGAUGGAGCCCCUACGAGAACACAACGCUAUUCACAUGACAAUUCAUAUUAAACACUAACCCCAUGGAGCACAUAUGAUAACAAGAAAUGUUGUUGCCGAUUAAUAAUUGCUUAUAAGGUCUUGGGCCCAAGAUAAGCCUAAAUCUAACAAGGGAGACGAAAACGUCAACCUGUGGAGCCUAGAUCGAGCCCCCCUGAGCUCAAAUUAUCCCCACUAUAGAAGGCGCACCUCAAACUUAUUAUUCUGACCUGACUCUAUUCAAUUAACCAAUAGUCCUGUCUCUGAACUUUGAUCACCUAAACGAGGAACAAAUAAAAGCUGCUUUGCAUGAAAAUUAUAAAAAAAUAAUUAAUAGGCAAAUUUAAACUACAUCUACCAUAAAUACACGACUCAACCUCUCAUGACAGCCAAAUCUUCAAUUAUUGAAGUAUCUCAACACUUUAAACAUAAUAGACUAGAUCAAUUUUAGCUCUAACUUAUGGUUAUCAUAAUAACAGUUCUCAUACAAAGUUAUAUACAAACAAGAGCACUCAUUUCAACAAGAAUUAAAACUAAACUUAGAUGUUUGAAGAAGAAUACUGAUGCAAUUCCGGGACAGUUUCAUAUUACCAUACACUUAGCCAAUAUAGCUUAAACACAAUCCUUAGCUAAUGGUUAAUAUUUUACCAAGUUCCCUAUAUCAACAUGUCCAAAACCAUCUAUAACCAAAAGAGUUUAAAAAGCAGGUAGAAUAACUCUAAAGCUAUACUAAUUCUAUCAAAUGCAAGUUGACUACUAGUUCCCAUGUUGAACAUAUAACACAUUAAUUAACUCUAAAAAACUGAAAUUAGACUAAUUAAUUUGAACACGCGGGAACCAACAUUUGGAACUCCAAUUUUUAUUUUAUUUCAAUAUUAUACCGUAGAUGAUGUGAAUCUAGGAACAUGUACUUGAAAAUUAAAAAUAAAAUAACAAAUAAUGGUCAGCAGAGCAGCAGUAGAACUUGAUAAUGGCAACAACACAACCCAGAUUCAACGAUUUAAAUACUGAAAACCAGCUUAAGAAUUCAAUGGAAUAGUGGUCCUUAACAACUUGAAACAGAAAAUUCCUCCCAAAUUCAAUAUCACUCCAAAUGAACUCUCAGAAUAAACCACAAAACAUGUCCAGACUUGAAACCUUCAGCAAUCGACUAAGAAAAGAAAAUAAGAUUCAAUAGAACAAUAAAAAAUUCUCAGCCAUUUUCUUUUUCUGACUUCUUUCAGUUCUUUUUUUUUCUGCCUUGAAAUGCAAGAAAAUGUGCCUUUAUACGCAAGGGAAUAUGGCAACAAGCAGAUUUCAACUUUUCAUUUUAGCCGUCUUUGAAUUUUGCUUUUUUGCUUAGAAAUUCUUAGGUAAAAAUAUUAAAAUCAAGUUAAAUCCCCCGCCCAGCUUCCUAGAAGCUUCCUAAUCAGUUACCAAAAGAUUCCCAAUCCCAAACUUCCUAAACUACCCCCCAAAGCCCUUGAGAUUACCCUCAGCCUUUUACCCGGGUCAGACAUAGGGGAUAAGUUGACCUCAUUUAAUGGGUCUAAAAUACGAGUUUGAUUCCUAUCUGGGCUAAUCCCUUUCAAUUUGGAUCCAAUUCAAUUCAAGAAAUCAAAAAAGAAGUUUUAGGGGCAGAAAAAUAGAGGAACAGUGGAAUCCAAUAAAAAGUUUGGCCAAACGUCCUCCCUAACCAAAAAUUAAAGUGAAACAAUCAAUAGAAAACAAAGACUAAACCCAUGACUAUGAGCAAUCUAAGGAAAACAGUAAUUAAUCAAUUAAACUAAACCCAAUGAAACACAUGCAAAUGGCGAUUGUGAGAAGAAAAUAGAAAAGAAAAAGGAAAUCGUAGAAGAGGGUAAUAAUAAAAGAGCGGAAAAGGGAAUCCGAGGAUACCUAUCAAAAAAUGGGCGGAAAAACAUCUCGAACAAAGAAUUCAAUGAAUCCUUAACUUUGCGGCCGAGACGGACCUUAAUCGUGUGUUCUCGACUGAGAACACACACCUAAAAUAGAUCUCAUCCUCAAAUUCUUAAAACUUCGCUAAUUUAGGCUUUCUGCAGUUCAUAUUCUUAACAUUCGAAUAGCUUGGAAGAGAUUUGAAGCAGAAGGAGUGGGGUUCAAGAUGAAUGAGGAUUGAGGAUUAUUUGGUGUUAAUUUUGGUGAAUGUUUGGGGUGGGAUGCCGAUAACAAUGGGGUUCAACCAAGAAAGGCAUUCUCUGAGAAAGGGAUAUGAACGAGGUGAACAAGAUACUAGGUUUAAUUCUGAAGAAUUCAGACAUAUUAAUUGUAAAUAGGAGGUGGCGUUGAACCAUUGGAUAUUGAGAGAUGGAAGGUCCAAAUU
RNAcentral lists this long non-coding RNA (2572 nucleotides) under Nicotiana benthamiana. RNAcentral's name for it is "long non-coding RNA (NBEN_LNC026831)". The record is from RNAcentral. Lineage: Eukaryota; Viridiplantae; Streptophyta; Magnoliopsida; Solanales; Solanaceae.